GUUGUAGCUCAGUGGUAGAGCAUUUGCCUCACUCAUGAGGCUCUCGGUUCGAUCCUCAGCGAAACA
RNAcentral lists this transfer RNA (66 nucleotides) under Marmota monax (woodchuck). RNAcentral's name for it is "tRNA.SeC". The record is from RNAcentral. Lineage: Eukaryota; Metazoa; Chordata; Mammalia; Rodentia; Sciuridae.